GUCCACGCCGUAAACUAUGGAUGCUAGCUGUUAUCGGUAUCGACUCCGGUAGUAGCGAAGCUAACGCGUUAAGCAUCCCGCCUGUGGAGUACGGUCGCAAGACUAAAACAUAAAGGAAUUGACGGGGACCCCGCACAAGCGGUGGAGUGUGUUGUUUAAUUCGAUGAUAAGCGAAGAACCUUACCAAGGUUUGACAUCCUGCGAAGGUCUCCGAAAGGAGACUGUGCUUUUAGAACGCAGUGACAGGUGAUGCAUGGCCGUCGU
RNAcentral lists this ribosomal RNA (264 nucleotides) under uncultured bacterium. RNAcentral's name for it is "partial 16S ribosomal RNA". It matches the Rfam family "Bacterial small subunit ribosomal RNA", at positions 793 to 1055 of the family's 1533-position model. The record is from RNAcentral.